GUGAGGAAUAUUGGUCAAUGGGCGAGAGCCUGAACCAGCCAAGUCGCGUGAGGGAUGACUGCCCUAUGGGUUGUAAACCUCUUUUGUAUGGGGGGAAUAAGCUUUACGAGUAGAGUGAUGACAGUACCAUACGAAUAAGCAUCGGCUAACUCCGUGCCAGCAGCCGCGGUAAUACGGAGGAUGCGAGCGUUAUCCGGAUUUAUUGGGUUUAAAGGGUGCGUAGGCGGCAUUAUAAGUUAGUGGUAAAAUAUUGGGGCUUCACCUCACUACGCCAUUAAUACUGUAGAGCUAGAGAACAGACGAGGUAGGCGGAAUAAGUUAAGUAGCGGUGAAAUGCAUAGAUAUAACUUAGAACACCGAUAGCGAAGGCAGCUUACCAGACUGAGUCUGACGCUGAUGCACGAGAGCAUGGGUAGCGAACAGGAUUAGAUACCCCUGUAGUCC
This 444-nucleotide ribosomal RNA is filed under the name uncultured Porphyromonadaceae bacterium. Its description in RNAcentral is "bacterial SSU rRNA". It matches the Rfam family "Bacterial small subunit ribosomal RNA", at positions 354 to 796 of the family's 1533-position model. Lineage: Bacteria; Pseudomonadati; Bacteroidota; Bacteroidia; Bacteroidales; Porphyromonadaceae. The record is from RNAcentral.